Molecule: long non-coding RNA, 1677 nt
Organism: Myxocyprinus asiaticus (Chinese sucker)
Lineage: Eukaryota; Metazoa; Chordata; Actinopteri; Cypriniformes; Catostomidae
Exons: 3
Source: RefSeq, a predicted model, not a curated record
UGUGGGAUUUGAAGUGUGAUUUGCGCUGCUCAGGACACUCGCGGGCAUUCCGGUGGCAGGAGGACCAGUGGGUGAAAUAUCAGGGCGGAGCUUUCCCAGCUUGGCAGAUGGAUGCCUUGUGAACUUAAAGGCAAAGUAAUCAACAUAACAUAAAUCGCAUGAUGCAAUUUCACAGGGUCGGACGCCACUACACGUUCUAGAUGAUAGUAGACCUACUUUUAUUUUAUUUUAUUAUAGUGUUAAUGGCAAAGCUGCUAUUGUAAAAGUCUUAUUAAAUGUACGGUAUGAUGCGGUGGUGCUUUGCACGAGCACGAACUGCGUUGGGAGGGAGGUGUCGAGCCCAGAGGCAGAAUUCGGCCAAUUAAAGUCGCCGACCCCCUUUGCAACACAUCAGCCCGCUAAGGGAGGGCUCUGAGCUUGAGCGAUGUGUGCGGUUUCCAAGGCAACCACUUGUCCUGACCUCCCCAUCCCCAUCCUCCUCAGACAAGAUUGGUUUCCAUGGUAAUGAUUGUAUCUCCCCGCAUGUUUCUAUUCCCGUAAAGCAAGCUGAGUGAACGGUCGGAAAGUAGUCUGCUUUUCAUCAAAGUCUGUCGGACAAUUUCUAUUUGCAUUAGUUCUGUGAGAAAAUAUGCAUUUAUGGAGGGUGGUUAUUUUCCCUAACACAAAUAAAGCAACGUCUGAGACACUAUCUAUAUAAAUAACAGAGAUGUGUGUAUGAAAUAAUUGUGAAUUAUGCUUUUUUUCUCUAUUAGGACUGGUGGCCGAUGCCUUUCUCAUAUGUUCACUUUUAAUAUGUUGCAAUACAUGGAACACCUUUAAUGGUCUAGGUAAUUAAAAUGAAGAGACCUGCUUGAGAUGUAGUUUUGUAGGACAGUCAAUUACUUUUGUAGGAAAUGUUUCAAGGUAGAUGUCACUGGUUACAAAUGAACUCACUUCAGUUCUCCUGUCUGAGCCUUUCUAGCUCUUCUGGAAUUUUAGCUUCCUGUAACCUGUUGAGACUCAUCUGCAUGCCACAGACUGAGGGUGUGUUCACCAAAAGGAGGGAGGUGGAGUGGAAAGAUACAGAGAAUGAAAGAAAGAGGGAGCUGUAUCUCUCCCUCUCACACAGGUAUAAACAGACAAAUACACACACUCACUUAAACUCUUUCGCUCUUUUAAUCUCCAACACACAUGCGCAUGCACACACAUACACAUUCUAGGUAUUUGCUCAUAUUUUCUGGAGAGAACUGUGUGAUGUCCCGGCGAUCUCUCAAGACAACAUUUUCCAGGCUAACAGUUAUCUUCAAUCACAGCAUAGUUGAACUAUAUUGUGAGUUUAGUUGGUAUUUACUUGUAUAACCCAGAUAUUAAGUCUGCCAUACUUCAUAUUGUAAAGAGGUUGUACUUUUCUAACAUUUAAAGGAUCAGUUACAUAAUGAAAGUUGCCCUUGAUGUUUGAUUACUAUGCAUGAAUCAAAACAUCUGUAAAAUGUACCAAAUUAUUUUAAUAAUUCAAUAAAAAUUUAAAUGACAGAAAUACUUGAUAGAUUUAUUUUUGAGCUGAUAAUGCAUUCCAGAAUUAUCCACCACAAAUAGAAAUAUUCUUACUAUAUUAUAUUUUUAUCUCUCUGUUGAAAUGUCUCCAAAAAGGUCUAAUAACACAAAGUGUUUAUAUGUGUAUACCUCACAAAGUCCAAG